RNAcentral lists this long non-coding RNA (1085 nucleotides) under Homo sapiens (human). RNAcentral's name for it is "HSALNT0048414". The record is from RNAcentral. Lineage: Eukaryota; Metazoa; Chordata; Mammalia; Primates; Hominidae.
CAAGGGCCCAAGUCCCUGCGAGUACACAGCCCCAAUUGUUGGAUUCUUGGAUUCAGAUUCUUAAAUUGUUGUGCCAAUGGUUUGACAGCAGGCAAAUUGAUGGAUAGGCUUUAUGGACAAUAGUCAGGGUGGGAACAGAAUUAAUCAGCAAUUAUUUGUUUUAUUACCUUCUCCCUCAAGAUCAGAGCCUUCCUACUCUGAGCUGGCCUGAAUGUCCUGUUCAUGGAUCCAGCUCAGCCCUGGGCACAUGGCAAGUGGUGUCUGGCUCUUUUGCCUUCUACACCGUCUUCCCACUUCCUACCAUCAGAUACCCAAAGCCUCCAAUGAACUCCCUCCUCAACUUCAGUUCCUUAAAGACAAUCCACCUGAAUCAAUCUAUUCACCCUGAACUGUUAGGACAUGGCUCAAAACUUAGCCCAAAGCAAGCACAGAACAGUUGUUGGUUGAAUCAGAGUCUCCAGUAAGCAAAGUCUUGGAACCUGUCACUUUCACAGCAUGGCAGUGAUUCCCACAAUCGGGCAAGCUUGGGAAAUUCUGAUAUGAUACAGACACAUUCAUUCGGAAUAAUGGAAAUAAAGGAAUUGGGUAAGGGAGUGUGUUGGGACUGGAAAGAGUUCACUGAUGCUUCUUAAUCACUCAGAUGUGAUUGGGUGGGGAGAAGGAUAGGAAACAGUGUGGAAGUCAAUCACUCAACAAAUCAUGGAUGCCUCUGGUGAGUGGGGCAAGAAUGAAGGUGGAGUUUCCACCCAGAAAGGCCAUACAAUCUAGUAGAGCAAGCAUCUAAACAAAACAGAAGGGGCUGGAAGAAAAGCUAGUUAUGCCUUGGGAGCAAUGCUUCUGGGGAUGAGUCUGCCUUGGAAGAAAACAGCUGGAAAUUGGUCCUGUCAUUGUGAAAUGGUGAUUGCCUUCAAGGGAAAUACCUGAGGAAUGGCAUGGCCAUACCCAUCCUGAUGGAGGCGAUCCAACCAGUCGCAGCCUUUCAAGAAAGUUUCACUCUGCUGAACCCUGAAAAUAAGGCCUUGAAAAGCAAACGACCCACUUGUACAUCAACCAUCAGCUUAACCCCCUAGUGCCUCAGGUUUACC